Molecule: ribosomal RNA, 323 nt
Filed under: uncultured Glissomonadida
Lineage: Eukaryota; Cercozoa; Glissomonadida
Description: SSU rRNA
Rfam family: Eukaryotic small subunit ribosomal RNA (bases 106-323)
Source: RNAcentral
GAUUUCUGGCUUGGUGCGCCUGGCCCACUGCCUUCAGGUAUGUGAGUGCCGGUGCGCGCCUGCCAUCCCUUCUAGAAAACGACUCUGCCCUUCACUGGGCCGGAGUCGCGAUCUAGAUCUUUUACUUUGAAAAAAUUAGAGUGUUUAAAGCAGGCUUGCGCUAUGAAUACAUUAGCAUGGAAUAAUAAUUUAGGACUUUGUUUCUAUUUUGUUGGUUUCUAGGAAUGAAGUAAUGAUUGAUAGGGAUAGUUGGGGGUGCUCGAAUUCAGCGGCCAGAGGUGAAAUUCUUGGAUUCGCUGAAGACGAACUCAUGCGAAAGCAUU